This 476-nucleotide ribosomal RNA is filed under the name uncultured bacterium. Its description in RNAcentral is "bacterial SSU rRNA". It matches the Rfam family "Bacterial small subunit ribosomal RNA", at positions 328 to 793 of the family's 1533-position model. The record is from RNAcentral.
CUCUGUGACUCCUACGGGAGGCAGCAGUGGGGAAUAUUGCACAAUGGGGGAAACCCUGAUGCAGCCAUGCCGCGUGUGUGAAGAAGGCCUUCGGGUUGUAAAGCACUUUCAGUAGGGAGGAAGGUAGUGUAGUUAACACCUGCAUUAUUUGACGUUACCUACAGAAGAAGCACCGGCUAACUCCGUGCCAGCAGCCGCGGUAAUACGGAGGGUGCGAGCGUUAAUCGGAAUUACGUGGGCGUAAAGCGCAUGCAGGCGGCCUGUUAAGUCAGAUGUAGAAAGCCCCGGGGCUUAACCUCGGAAUUGCAUUUAGAAACUGGCAGGCUAGAGUCUUGUAGAGGGGGUAGAAUUUCAGGUGUAGCGGUGAAAUGCGUAGAGAUCUGAAGGAAUACCAGUGGCGAAGGCGGCCCCCUGGACAAAGACUGACGCUCAGAUGCGAAAGCGUGGGGAGCAAACAGGAUUAGAUACCCUGGUAA